This 497-nucleotide ribosomal RNA is filed under the name uncultured bacterium. Its description in RNAcentral is "partial 16S ribosomal RNA". It matches the Rfam family "Bacterial small subunit ribosomal RNA", at positions 28 to 507 of the family's 1533-position model. The record is from RNAcentral.
GAUGAACGCUGGCGGCGUGCCUAAUACAUGCAAGUCGAGCGAACAGACGAGGAGCUUGCUCCUCUGACGUUAGCGGCGGACGGGUGAGUAACACGUGGAUAACCUACCUAUAAGACUGGGAUAACUUCGGGAAACCGGAGCUAAUACCGGAUAACAUGUUGAACCGCAUGGUUCAACAGUGAAAGACGGUCUUGCUGUCACUUAUAGAUGGAUACGGGCCGCAUUAGAUAGUUGGUAGGCUCACGGGUUACCAAGGCAACGAUGCGUAGCCGAACGGAGAGAGUGAUAGGCGACAUGGGAACUGAACCACGGACCAGGCUACUACGGGAGGGAGCAGUAGGGAACCGUCCGCAAUGGUCGAAAGCCUGGCGGAGCAACGCCGCGUCAGUGAAGAAGGUCUUCGGAUCGUAAUACUCUGUUAUUAGGGAAGAACAACUGUGUAAGUAGCCAUGGACGUAUUGACGGUACCUGAUAAGAAAGCCACGGCUAACUACGUG